RNAcentral lists this ribosomal RNA (492 nucleotides) under uncultured bacterium. Its description in RNAcentral is "bacterial SSU rRNA". It matches the Rfam family "Bacterial small subunit ribosomal RNA", at positions 32 to 534 of the family's 1533-position model. The record is from RNAcentral.
AAUCAACGCUGGCGGCGUGCCUCAGACAUGCAAGUCGAACGAUUAAAGCUCUCUUCGGAGAGUGUAUAGAGUGGCGCACGGGUGAGUAACACGUAAGUAAUCUACCCUCGAGUGGGGAAUAACAACCGGAAACGGUUGCUAAUACCGCAUAAUGCAGCGGCACCGCAAGGUGACAGUUGUUAAAGAUUUAUCGCUUGAGGAGGAGCUUGCGGCAGAUUAGCUAGUUGGUAGGGUAACGGCUUACCAAGGCUACGAUCUGUAACCGGUCUAAGAGGACGGUCGGUCACACUGACACUGAAUAACGGGUCAGACUCCUACGGGAGGCAGCAGUCGGGAAUUUUGGGCAAUGGGCGAAAGCCUGACCCAGCAACGCCGCGUGAAGGAUGAAGUAUUUCGGUAUGUAAACUUCGAAAGAAUAGGAAGAAUUAAUGACGGUACUAUUUAUAAGGUCCGGCUAACUACGUGCCAGCAGCCGCGGUAAGGCGUAUGUGU